This 72-nucleotide transfer RNA is filed under the name Ictidomys tridecemlineatus (thirteen-lined ground squirrel). RNAcentral's name for it is "Spermophilus tridecemlineatus (thirteen-lined ground squirrel) tRNA". It matches the Rfam family "tRNA". From Rfam's summary of the family: Transfer RNA (tRNA) molecules are approximately 80 nucleotides in length. The record is from Rfam by way of RNAcentral. Lineage: Eukaryota; Metazoa; Chordata; Mammalia; Rodentia; Sciuridae.
GGGGAUAUGGCUCAGUGGUAGAGUGCUUGCCUAGCAUGCACAAGGCACAGGGUUCAAUUCCCAGCACUGCCA